Molecule: long non-coding RNA, 1126 nt
Filed under: Olea europaea subsp. europaea
Lineage: Eukaryota; Viridiplantae; Streptophyta; Magnoliopsida; Lamiales; Oleaceae
Source: RNAcentral
AGUUGGUUGACUAUCCUGCCUGAGAUACAUGCUGAUAGUUGGGACUCUUCCUUAGGUGGUUAAGAUUUAUGCACUAUCUUGCUUGAGCUUCAUAUUUAUGAUUUAUUGAACAUGGUUAAGAUCUGCUUGAGAGAUUCUUAAUCAGGUUCGAGUGAAGUAGUAUUAAGGAAUUGAAACAAUUGAUUGCAUUUGGGUAAAUGAAACUCUGUUUCCAUCCUGCUAAUAUCCCAACUGUUGUUUUAUGUUAGUGGAGAUUAAUCCAUCCCCGUUGAUGAGGCUAAUUUUCAUGUUAAUUUGAUUUGUUAUGUAUAAAUUGGCGAUUGCUGAUUUCGAAUUCUUGUAAUAAUUUGGGCAGAAGCUUAAUUGCAAUUGAUGAUUUCGGUAUUAUUGCAAUAUUGGAGAAGCUCAUUUGCAAUUGAUUUAUUUCACAUGCUGCAUAUUUUGUUGAACACUUGGCAUGGUUUGUGAAUUAAUGAUUUGUGAAAUUGAUUUAUGUGCUUGUUUCCCAUCUAAGGAUAUGAAAGGAAGGAAUGCUGGAAUUUGUCACAGUUGUAGAAGCAAUGAGCAUUUUUUUAUUGAAUGCAAUAGAAAACGUCGUUGCCCAUGGUGUGCACAUGGAUUUCAAAAAUGUUUUGAGGUGGAAAGACAAACGCCUAACAAAGGGCGAUUAUUCAAUACAUGCAGUAGUAACUGUGGAUUUUUUGAAUGGGUCGAACAAGGAGAGUCAAGUGGAGAAUCAACUACUGCUAAUGUAGCACUCAAUGCUGUGGCAACUGAGGAAGUCAAAGAUUUGUCAAGUAUGUUCAACACUCUUGCUCGAAUAUCCGAUGAACGAGACUUGGAGAUUAACUUGAACAUUACAUUUCGCAAGGGAAAAGGAAGUUCGGAAGGCAACGGGAAAGCAAAGGAGGCAUCUUGAGUAGUUGUAUUGCCUUGAACGUGUUAGUCGAUUUAUGUUUGUACUAGAACAUAUGAAUGACGUAAGUAGUAUUAAUUUUCCAUCGGAAAAUGGGUGUAAUGCAAUUUAGGUUUAUGUUUCUACUGCAGAAGAUGAUUUAAACUGACUUCUGGUUGGUAUAGUUUCUGAUUUAAAUUUCGAGUUCAUGGCAGUUUAUUGUUCAUUGAA